Molecule: unclassified non-coding RNA, 388 nt
Filed under: soil metagenome
Description: partial contains 5.8S ribosomal RNA, internal transcribed spacer 2, and large subunit ribosomal RNA
Rfam family: 5.8S ribosomal RNA (bases 1-122)
Source: RNAcentral
GAUGAAGAACGUAGCGAAAUGCGAUACUUGGUGUGAAUUGCAGAAUCCCGUGAACCAUCGAGUCUUUGAACGCAAGUUGCGCCCGAAGCCACUAGGCCGAGGGCACGCCUGCCUGGGCGUCACACGUCGUUCCCCCCCCAUCUACUCCUUCGGGAUUGCAGGGGGCGGAUGAUGGCCUCCCGUGCGCCUCGCCGCGCGGUUGGCAUAAAUACCAAGUCCUACGACGCACGCCACGACAAUCGGUGGUUGCGAAACCUCGGUUGCCCGUCGUGUGCGUUCGUCGCGCAUCGAGGGCUCGAAAAAAUGCUCGGCUCCGGCUCGGCUUUCAACGCGACCCCAGGUCAGGCGGGGUUACCCGCUGAAUUUAAGCAUAUCAAUAAGCGGAGGA